GCACCCCGCCGGCCCUGAAAUGGAGUGGCGGCCCGUCCGCGGCGACCUCUGCGAAGUACUACAGCUCGCACCGGAAACCCGACGCGGCCCCGCCGUGAAACCCCCAACUCUGAACGUUGACCUCGGAUCAGGUAGGACU
This 139-nucleotide ribosomal RNA is filed under the name Cordyceps fumosorosea. Its description in RNAcentral is "partial 28S ribosomal RNA". The record is from RNAcentral. Lineage: Eukaryota; Fungi; Ascomycota; Sordariomycetes; Hypocreales; Cordycipitaceae.